AAAAAAAGCUAUAACACCCUUACUUCAAACAUCUUCACAAAAAACCCUCAUCUCUCAUCUUCACAAAAAACCCUCCUCCCUCAAGAAAAAGCUAAGAUCACCGUCGCCGGCCGUCGCCUUAGUCGGCCACCACCACCGUCGCGGUUGCCAUCAACCUUCAACAUCAUCAUCGUCACUUUCUCUGCAGUGAAGAAUGGAAUAAGAAAAUGGUGAUUCAAAAACCCUAACUGAUGCUUCGUAUCGUCUUCUUCAAUCGUCAUUCUCUCUGCAACUUUUCAAGCUUGAAGAGGUUCAGACCACAUCUUCAGUUGCAGACAUGAAAACAGAUGAAAUCAACUUGCAGACAGUUUAUGUCUGCAAAAACAAACAGCACCUAAGCAUUAUCACAAGCUAAAUAAUAUGUGGAAGCAACCCCACUCAAUUGUUAGCUACAAUCUUGUACCUGUCAUGUCUCAAAAGAUUUUAGGGCAUGUUUGACUAAGCUUUUUGAAACAACUUAUUCACUUAUUGGCUUUUUGAAAAGUCAUAAGCUUCAAAAUGAUGUUUGACAAUGAGGAUGUAUGUGAGGGAGAAAAGUCAAUAAGUCACUCUAUACUAACUUUUCCAAAAAGCCAAUAAGUUAAUAAGUUAUUUAAAAAACUUCAAGAAACAUGCCCUUAAUACCCUUAAUGAUCUAAUAAAGCUUAUGUAAUUUUUCAUGGGUCUUGAUGAUAUUAGUUAACCGGUUAGAACCAUUUUGCCAA
Helianthus annuus (common sunflower) is the source of this 743-nucleotide long non-coding RNA. RefSeq lists it as uncharacterized. NCBI's taxonomy places the organism in Eukaryota, Viridiplantae, Streptophyta, Magnoliopsida, Asterales, Asteraceae. The record is from RefSeq and is a predicted model, not a curated record. The transcript is spliced from 2 exons.